RNAcentral lists this long non-coding RNA (834 nucleotides) under Fukomys damarensis (Damara mole-rat). Its description in RNAcentral is "lncRNA (ENSFDAG00000026566.1)". The record is from RNAcentral. Lineage: Eukaryota; Metazoa; Chordata; Mammalia; Rodentia; Bathyergidae.
GUGAAGAAGAAGAAUCAAUGAACAAAUAAAGGCUCUGAAGGAUCCCAGGGCCUUCCUGUGCUCCAACUUCAGGAACCACCAGCCCUCUGCUCUGUGUUCUCCAGAGAGCAUCAGGAUCCUUUGCAACCCAGAGCUCUUGCAGAAGCUUCUUCUUUUUCUGGAAUAUUUCUUGCCUCUGCCCUUCCACACUCACCUUACAAACUCCUGCACACUUUUGAGAUUCCAGCUUCCAGACCAAAACUCAGACUCAGCCUCCUGCAGUCAAAAAUUGCAGUUCAUUGAUUAGCACACAAUAGCCCUGCUUCGUUUCACUAGUACUUUGCUACCAUUAGGACCAAGCACAGUGCCUAUCAUAGUACUUGGAAGGAAAGAAAAGAGAGGAGAGGGCUGGAAGGAAGGGAGAGGAGGAGAAAAGAAGAGUGUUAGUCAGCUUUCUAACACUUGAACAAACAUCAGAGAAAAAUCAACCUGUAAGGGAGGAGGUUUAUUUGGGACCACAGUUUUGGAGGUUCCAGCCCAUGACUGGCUGACUCCAUUGCUUCAGACCCUGUGGUGAGGCAGCACAUCACAGUGGAGAGCCUGUAGCAGACCAAAGCCCCUUCACCUCAUCACCAGGAGCAAAAAGAAAGACACUGGAGUCCCAUAAGCCCUUGCAAGGACACAUCCUCCAGAGACCUGGAGACCUCCCCUAGGCCCCGCCUCUCAACGGCUUCCACCACCCACUAAUAGCAUCAAGCUAGGAAUCCAGCCUUUAACACAUGGGCUUUCGUGGGACCAUGAAGAUCCAUUCUACAUAGUAAGAAAGAGGGAACCAAUGGAGGAAGGGAGGGGGGA